RNAcentral lists this ribosomal RNA (427 nucleotides) under uncultured bacterium. RNAcentral describes it as "partial 16S ribosomal RNA". It matches the Rfam family "Bacterial small subunit ribosomal RNA", at positions 355 to 774 of the family's 1533-position model. The record is from RNAcentral.
UGGGGAAUAUUGCACAAUGGGCGCAAGCCUGAUGCAGCCAUGCCGCGUGUAUGAAGAAGGCCUUCGGGUUGUAAAGUACUUUCAGCGGGGAGGAAGGCGAUAAGGUUAAUAACCUUGUCGAUUGACGUUACCCGCAGAAGAAGCACCGGCUAACUCCGUGCCAGCAGCCGCGGUAAUACGGAGGGUGCAAGCGUUAAUCGGAAUUACUGGGCGUAAAGCGCACGCAGGCGGUCUGUCAAGUCGGAUGUGAAAUCCCCGGGCUCAACCUGGGAACUGCAUUCGAAACUGGCAGGCUAGAGUCUUGCAGAGGGGGGUAGAAUUCCAGGUGUAGCGGUGAAAUGCGUAGAGAUCUGGAGGAAUACCGGUGGCGAAGGCGGCCCCCUGGACAAAGACUGACGCUCAGGUGCGAAAGCGUGGGGAGCAAACA